Molecule: long non-coding RNA, 1192 nt
Filed under: Sinocyclocheilus anshuiensis
Lineage: Eukaryota; Metazoa; Chordata; Actinopteri; Cypriniformes; Cyprinidae
Description: lncRNA (ENSSANG00000006259.1)
Source: RNAcentral
CUGACGAGGAUACGUUAACAUGCCUGACAGGUUCACUCUGCUUACUUUCAGCUUUUGUUUCAUACUUCACAAUGUUUGUAGUUGGAACGUGAGUGAACCUCUCAACCACACAUUCAAUGACGACGACUCGGUCAGUGUCACAUGCAUGUUUAAUGGAGAGGAAAAGUUUGAAUUAGAAGCUAAGUUGAAAAUGAAUGAUAAAUAUGUUUGUGAGGUUUAUAACAAAAGCCAAGAACAGGGCACGCAUAAACAUGACUGUACAUGGCAGCAUAAGGACAACAAAUUCACGUUCACCUUAAUGAAACCUGAGGGCUUACACAAAAAUACAUUUUCCUGUGAGAUAUCCAAAAUUAAACCAUUUCCAGUCAAAAUUCAAGAAGGACCAAAAACAAAGCUUUUCCGAGGUUGCAAUAAGUCUUUGGCUCCACCGAAGAACAGUUGUCCAUUCACUAACCAAACAAAUAACCAGGAUCACAGACCUGUAGAAAGUCACACACCUGAAGAAAUGUAUACCCUAUUAAUCUGUGGUCUGAUAAUAGUGGUGGUAAUGCUGUCUGUCUACAGCAUUAUUCUUACGGCAGUCUACAUAAGAUUGAGGGCCACAAAGCCUGAGUCUUCUGACACACUGACCUAUGUCCCAAUGCAGGUAAGUUCUUUCCUCUGUUGUGCCAACACUGUAUUUGUGCCAGUAAUGCAAUAUGCCUGUGGCCGUCUGGUACACCAGUUCUUCAAAUGAUUUUACUGUUUCAGAGGAAUGUAAACCGGCGUGAUCUAGACAACACCGAAUAUGUGGACAUGCGUGAAGUGCAGAAACGGGGAGGAUCCCACAGAGAUAUGAACCACAACUCUCAUCUUGCUAUUGCCUGAGCCCAUUUCUGGCAUAAGUGAGCUCAUGCUUUAACUGCUCUAGGACUUACUGCUGGAUGAAUUUUACUUAGGCUACACUAAAGAAUAUCACAGGACAAAACUAUUGCCUUUCUACCAAACAAAACAGACUUUCCUGAAUGCCUGAAUCUGCAUAUUGCGGCUGCACUGCAUACAUUACGCAGUCUUGAUGUUCUCUGUGUCAGAUGGUUUCAUCUGGUGGCUUGUACAACCUAAUGCUGAAUUGUAGAUAUGCCAAGCUAAAUGUAUAUGAAGUAUUUAGCUUGGGAAUUUUUUAAUUAUUAUUUUGAUCCCAUGGACCCCCCCC